GAUGAACGCUGGCGGCGUGCUUAACACAUGCAAGUCGAACGAGAAAUGUAGACGGAAACCUUCGGGCGGAAGCCUUCAUUUCGAGUGGCGGACGGGUGAGUAACGCGUGGGUAACCUGCCUCAUACAGGGGGAUAACAGUUGGAAACGACUGUUAAUACCGCAUAAGACCACAGCAUCGCAUGAUGCGGGGGUAAAAACUCCGGUGGUAUGAGAUGGACCCGCGUUCGAUUAGCCAGUUGGCGGGGUAACGGCCCACCAAAGCGACGAUCGAUAGCCGAUCUGAGAGGAUGACCGGCCACAUUGGGACUGAGACACGGCCCAAACUCCUACGGGAGGCAGCAGUGGGGAAUAUUGCACAAUGGGGGAAACCCAGAUGCAGCGACGCCGCGUGAGUGAAGAAGUACUUCGGUAUGUAAAGCUCUAUCAGCAGGGAAGAAAAUGACGGUACCUGAGUAAGAAGCCCCGGCUAACUACGUG
This 478-nucleotide ribosomal RNA is filed under the name uncultured bacterium. RNAcentral describes it as "partial 16S ribosomal RNA". It matches the Rfam family "Bacterial small subunit ribosomal RNA", at positions 28 to 507 of the family's 1533-position model. The record is from RNAcentral.